Molecule: long non-coding RNA, 335 nt
Filed under: Homo sapiens (human)
Lineage: Eukaryota; Metazoa; Chordata; Mammalia; Primates; Hominidae
Description: HSALNT0356274
Source: RNAcentral
AAUGUUGGGAUUACAGGUGUGAGUUGCUGUGCCCGGCCCUGAUACACAUUCUUUCUCUAAGCCAUAGACAGUAGGAUAGUAGAACCGACCAUCAGCAGGAUGUGUUGCCACAGAAGAAAUCGAUAUUGUGCUAGACUUCAUAUCAGGAAGCUGAGUACAGAUGGACUGACUCUCAUCAAUAAACGCCAUGGGAACACAAACCAGGUCAACAGUGGGGUGAGAUCAACGAACGCUGCUGUUGUUAUUUAUGAUAUGGAGCUGGUAUGACUCUAGGUCUGGUUGAACUCUUACCUCUAGUCUGGAGGGUAUAGAGGUCAUGCAUGAUUUAAUGCAGG